This 252-nucleotide ribosomal RNA is filed under the name uncultured bacterium. RNAcentral describes it as "partial 16S ribosomal RNA". It matches the Rfam family "Bacterial small subunit ribosomal RNA", at positions 524 to 774 of the family's 1533-position model. The record is from RNAcentral.
UACGUAGGGGGCAAGCGUUGUCCGGAAUCAUUGGGUGUAAAGAGCGCGUAGGCGGCCCUGUAAGUCCGCUGUGAAAGUCAAGGGCUCAACCCUUGAAUGCCGGUGGAUACUGCAGGGCUAGAGUCCGGAAGAGGAGAGUGGAAUUCCGUGGUGUAGCGGUGAAAUGCGCAGAUAUCAGGAAGAACACCCGUGGCUAAGGCGGCUCUCUAGUACGGUACUGACGCUGAGACGCGAAAGCGUGGGGAGCGAACA